This 73-nucleotide transfer RNA is filed under the name Berkeleya fennica. RNAcentral's name for it is "tRNA-Trp". It matches the Rfam family "tRNA". Rfam says of the family: Transfer RNA (tRNA) molecules are approximately 80 nucleotides in length. Their secondary structure includes four short double-helical elements and three loops (D, anti-codon, and T loops). The record is from RNAcentral. Lineage: Eukaryota; Bacillariophyta; Bacillariophyceae; Naviculales; Berkeleyaceae.
AGGAGAAUAGUUCAGUUGGUAGAACAUUGGUUUCCAAAACCAAAAGACAGGGGUUCAAAUCCCUUUUUUCCUG